Molecule: ribosomal RNA, 243 nt
Filed under: uncultured Acholeplasma sp.
Lineage: Bacteria; Bacillati; Mycoplasmatota; Mollicutes; Acholeplasmatales; Acholeplasmataceae
Description: partial 16S ribosomal RNA
Rfam family: Bacterial small subunit ribosomal RNA
Source: RNAcentral
CUAGCGAGACUGCCAGUGAUAAACUGGAGGAAGGUGGGGGUGACGUCAAAUCAUCAUGCCCCUUAUGACCUGGGCUACAAACGUGAUACAAUGGCUGAAACAAAGGGCAGCGAAGCAGUGAUGUGGAGCGAAACCCAAAAAAGCAGUCUCAGUUCGGAUUGAAGUCUGCAACUCGACUUCAUGAAGUUGGAAUCGCUAGUAAUCGUAGAUCAGAACGCUACGGUGAAUACGUUCUCGGGGUUU